GUGGACGCCAGUCUGCAUGGAGCCGACCUUGAAAUACCACCCUUUAAUGUUUGAUGUUCUAACGUGGACCCGUAAUCCGGGUUGCGGACAGUGUCUGGUGGGUAGUUUGACUGGGGCGGUCUCCUCCUAAAGAGUAACGGAGGAGCACGAAGGUUGGCUAAUCCUGGUCGGACAUCAGGAGGUUAGUGCAAUGGCAUAAGCCAGCUUGACUGCGAGCGUGACGGCGCGAGCAGGUGCGAAAGCAGGUCAUAGUGAUCCGGUGGUUCUGAAUGGAAGGGCCAUCGCUCAACGGAUAAAAGGUACUCCGGGGAUAACAGGCUGAUACCGCCCAAGAGUUCAUAUCGACGGCGGUGUUUGGCACCUCGAUGUCGGCUCAUCACAUCCUGGGGCUGAAGUAGGUCCCAAGGGUAUGGCUGUUCGCCAUUUAAAGUGGUACGCGAGCUGGGUUUAGAACGUCGUGAGACAGUUCGGUCCCUAUCUGCCGUGGGCGCUGGAGAACUGAGGGGGGCUGCUCCUAGUACGAGAGGACCGGAGUGGACGCAUCACUGGUGUU
RNAcentral lists this ribosomal RNA (553 nucleotides) under Salmonella enterica. RNAcentral describes it as "partial 23S ribosomal RNA". It matches the Rfam family "Bacterial large subunit ribosomal RNA", at positions 2164 to 2716 of the family's 2925-position model. The record is from RNAcentral. Lineage: Bacteria; Pseudomonadati; Pseudomonadota; Gammaproteobacteria; Enterobacterales; Enterobacteriaceae.